GAUCACCGAAGUCAAGCAUCAUUGGGCGCGGUCAGUACUUGGGUGGGUGACCACCUGGGAACACCGCGUGCCGUU
RNAcentral lists this ribosomal RNA (75 nucleotides) under Caerostris darwini. Lineage: Eukaryota; Metazoa; Arthropoda; Arachnida; Araneae; Araneidae. The record is from RNAcentral.